RNAcentral lists this non-coding RNA (148 nucleotides) under Pan paniscus (pygmy chimpanzee). The record is from Rfam by way of RNAcentral. Lineage: Eukaryota; Metazoa; Chordata; Mammalia; Primates; Hominidae. RNAcentral also lists the same sequence under 1 other name.
GCCAGGCAUGGUGGUGCGUGCCUGUAGUCCCAGCUACUCAGGAGGCUGAGGCAGGAUAAUUGCUUGAACCCAGGAGGCGGAGGUUGCAGUGAGCCGAGAUUGUGCCACUGCACUCCAGCCUGGGUGACAGAGCGAGACUCUGUCUCCA